UACAGAGGGUGCGAGCGUUAAUCGGAAUUACUGGGCGUAAAGGGCGCGUAGGUGGUUAUGUAAGUGAGAUGUGAAAUCCCCGGGCUUAACCUGGGAACUGCGUCUUAUACUGCAUAGCUUGAGUACAUGAGAGGGUAGUGGAAUUUCCGGUGUAGCGGUGAAAUGCGUAGAUAUCGGAAGGAACACCAGUGGCGAAGGCGGCUACCUGGCAUGAUACUGACACUGAGGCGCGAGAGCGUGGGGAGCAAACAGG
Molecule: ribosomal RNA, 253 nt
Filed under: uncultured bacterium
Lineage: Bacteria
Description: partial 16S ribosomal RNA
Rfam family: Bacterial small subunit ribosomal RNA
Source: RNAcentral